Molecule: ribosomal RNA, 468 nt
Filed under: uncultured bacterium
Lineage: Bacteria
Description: partial 16S ribosomal RNA
Rfam family: Bacterial small subunit ribosomal RNA
Source: RNAcentral
GACGAACGCUGGCGGCGUGCUUAACACAUGCAAGUCGAACGGAAAGGCCCUGCUUUUGUGGGGUGCUCGAGUGGCGAACGGGUGAGUAACACGCGAGUAACCUGCCCCUGACUUUGGGAUAUCUUCAGGAAACUGGGGCUAAUACCGGAUAGGAGCUCUUGCUGCAUGGUGGUGGUUGGAAAGUUUCGGCGGUUCGGGCUGGACUCGCUGCUUAUCAGCUUGUUGGUGAGGUAGUGGCUUACCAAGGCUUUGACGGGUAGCCGGCCUGAGAGGGUGAACGGCCACCUGGGGCCUACGGUAGGGCCCAGAAUCGUACGGGAGGCAACGGUGGAGAAUAUUGCGGAGCGGGGGGGAGCCUGAUAUGACAACGCCGCGAUCGGGAUGCCGGCCUUCGGGUUGUGAACCGCUUUCGCCUGUAACGUGGCGUGAGUGACGGUAAUGAGUCAGGAAGCACCGGCUAACUACGUG